GGAGAUACAGCUCAGUGGCAAAGUGCCUGCCUAGUAUGCAUGAGGCCAUGGGUUCAAACUCUAUCAUCACCC
Molecule: transfer RNA, 72 nt
Filed under: Cavia porcellus (domestic guinea pig)
Lineage: Eukaryota; Metazoa; Chordata; Mammalia; Rodentia; Caviidae
Rfam family: tRNA
About the family: Transfer RNA (tRNA) molecules are approximately 80 nucleotides in length. Their secondary structure includes four short double-helical elements and three loops (D, anti-codon, and T loops).
Source: Rfam by way of RNAcentral